AGUGCGUGCCCGUCGCUCUGCGCUCCCGCCCGCGGGAGCGGAGCAUCGCCUCCGGCCAGGAGUGUGCAUGCGUGGGGGUUAUUCUUUCCCAAUCAGCAAGGACCCCAGCACUCCUACAGUGAGAAGCGAGAAGGCUUGCUAUGCUGGACCACACAAUGGAAACAAGAUGGGCCCUGUCUCAGCAAGGGAAGAGAGAACAGACUCCCAAAGUUGUCCUCUGACCGCCACAGCCAUGCCAAGGCACACUCACCUGCACGACAAGCACACGGAAUUGGUUAAUGUUUUAAUUGGAGAGAUGGCUGAGUUGAUAAAACGCCUGAGGACCUGAGUUUGACUCCCCAGCAUCAGGAUCAAGAUGUAGAACUCUGGCUCCUCCAUCACCAAGUCUGCCUGCACGCUGCCAUGCUUCCUGCCAUGAUGAUAAUGGACUAAACCUCCGAAACGCAAUGGAAGCCCUAACUAAGAUGUUCAUGAAAACCGGUAUCAAACUUGCUGAAUACAUCUGAAGAUCUAUGUUCCAUCCUUGGAGCCCACAGUGAAAGGAGAGAACCGACUCCUGAAAGCUGACCUCUGACCUCCACCGAUGCACCGGGGCAUCCUGACACUUCCUCCUCCCGAAAGUCCUAUCC
RNAcentral lists this long non-coding RNA (629 nucleotides) under Mus musculus (house mouse). RNAcentral describes it as "predicted gene, 41361". The record is from RNAcentral. Lineage: Eukaryota; Metazoa; Chordata; Mammalia; Rodentia; Muridae.